UUGCACGCUGGCGGCAUGCUUUACCCCUGCAAGUCGCACGGUAACAGGCCGCAAGGUGCUGACGAGUGGCGAACGGGUGAGUAGUGCAUCGGAACGUGCCCAGUCGUGGGGGAUAACUACUCGAAAGAGUAGCUAAUACCGCAUACGAUCUAUGGAUGAAAGCGGGGGACCGUAAGGCCUCGCGCGAUUGGAGCGGCCGAUGUCAGAUUAGGUAGUUGGUGGGGUAAAGGCUCACCAAGCCAACGAUCUGUAGCUGGUCUGAGAGGACGACCAGCCACACUGGGACUGAGACACGGCCCAGACUCCUACGGGAGGCAGCAGUGGGGAAUUUUGGACAAUGGGCGCAAGCCUGAUCCAGCAAUGCCGCGUGCAGGAAGAAGGCCUUCGGGUUGUAAACUGCUUUUGUACGGAACGAAACGGCUCUGGUUAAUACCCGGGGCUAAUGACGGUACCGUAAGAAUAAGCACCGGCUAACUACGUG
Molecule: ribosomal RNA, 481 nt
Filed under: uncultured bacterium
Lineage: Bacteria
Description: partial 16S ribosomal RNA
Rfam family: Bacterial small subunit ribosomal RNA
Source: RNAcentral